GGAAGUAAAAGUCGUAACAAGGUCUCCGUAGGUGAACCUGCGGAAGGAUCAUUACUGAUUUAGCGAACCGAGCGUUAGCGAGGUUUUGCGAUCACUUAUAUUUAAAACCCACUCUUUGAACGUAUAAAAUUUUAUGUAUUAAUGAUAAAAAUAAAAGAUCACUUUCAACAACGGAUCUCUUGGCUCUCGCAUCGAUGAAGAACGUAGCGAAGUGCGAUAAGUAAUGUGAAUUGCAGUAUUCCGUGAAUCAUCGAAUCUUUGAACGCAUAUUGCACUUUCUGGUAUUCCGGAAAGUAUGCCUGUUUGAGGGUCAGUUAAAUAAAAAAUCGGUGUUGUUGCUGCCUUUCGUGGUGACGCGUCGGAAUUGAGUUGUCUUACCUUCGGUUAAGUGACUUAAAAUUUUGCAUGAUUUUUGAACGUAUUUAAAUUGCUUACGUACGUUUGAGAUAUCGAAUACUUUUAUUAGGUUCAGUCAUCCUCAUGACUCGCGCCUAUAAUUUUUCAUUAAAUGACCUCAAAUCAGGUAAGAAUACCCGCUGAACUUAAGCAUAUCAAUAAGCGGAGGA
This 566-nucleotide ribosomal RNA is filed under the name uncultured Glomus. RNAcentral describes it as "eukaryotic LSU rRNA". The stretch from base 160 to 313 matches the Rfam family "5.8S ribosomal RNA". Lineage: Eukaryota; Fungi; Glomeromycota; Glomeromycetes; Glomerales; Glomeraceae. The record is from RNAcentral.